This is a long non-coding RNA of Marmota monax (woodchuck), 1053 nucleotides long. RefSeq lists it as uncharacterized. The record is from RefSeq and is a predicted model, not a curated record. The transcript is spliced from 3 exons. NCBI's taxonomy places the organism in Eukaryota, Metazoa, Chordata, Mammalia, Rodentia, Sciuridae.
GAAGUCUGUACAAUGAAAUUCUCCAGAGAACAUAGGUGAGAAGGAGGCCCCGGUACCACCCAGGAGUGACCCCUGUGCCCCGGGCACCCCAGGUCCAGAGUCCAUGGUGUUUAUCUUCACAGUGUACUUUGGGCACUCGUUAUCCAAUCUGCCCUUUGUACCACAGGCCACAAGUCCACUCAGGAGAGCUGAUAUAGGCAACACUUCACCUGACGUUGGACGUUGGUCCUGCUGACAGGUUGGGGUUUGGAUCUUGCGCUCCUGGUAUCAGGACCCCAGUUAUGAAUAAUUCCCAGUCCUGGCCAUGGAAGCUGGGGAUAUCCAAGAUACGAACAUUGAUGCCUUGUAAGACAAUGGAAUGGUGUGCAUCAUUAAAAAGAAAUGAGCUGUCAAGCCAUGGAGAGACGUGGAAGCAACUUCAGUGCUCAGCCUGACGUGAACGAAGGCAGUCUGACAGUCAGCGUGCGUGCGAUUCCAGCCCCGUGACCUGGGGAGCGGCACAGCAUGGAGACAGCCCGCAGACCAGAGGUGUCUACCUUCCCAUGGGUGGAGGUGAGUGAGAGAGAGGGAGGAAGGACCCAGGCAGGGGAAUCCUGGAAACCACCUGGAGACCUUCCCCCAGGUGGCUGCAGCUCCACCAAGCGGAGAAGUUGCCGGCCUCCCUCCUCCAGUUGCGCAUCGAGCUCCUGGGACUUUUGCUGGCAGCUCCCGUGGGCUGCGCAGGGCUCUGGGGGUCCCACUGCCUGGGGCGCACUCUGCUCACUUGGCCAGGGAACACGCAGGGCCGGGGAGAACUGCCUCCCCUGAGUACCACUACAUGAACAGGUGGAGUCAUCCCACCCGUGCAGCCAGGUAAGGCCACGUGUACCACCUGGAGCCUGUCUUGGGAGAAGGGAGGAGGGCCCUGAGGGAAGACCAGGCUCAUGGCAGGUCCCUCAUUUGGAGGCAAUGGAGAGAAGGGGGCAGGGAGUCAGAAAGACAGAGCCCAUGACCCAGGCCAGGGCUGUCCUUAAUGUCAUCAAUCACAGGCAGGUAUAUGAGUUUCGUUUGCUU